AUGAAUAAAGUAAAGUUUUCCAGGGUGUUUAAACAUACAGCUGAGUUAAUUCCACAUUCAGAGUUUCUUUUUUUUUUUUUUUUUUUUUUUUUUUUUAGUUUCAACUCAGCUGAACUGUUACUCAAAGGAUGGAUAUAUUUGUGUUCAUAUACUGGUCGUUUUGGAAAAGUAUGUUACAUUAAGGAAGCAAUCUUCAUUUUCUGUUGUUUUUCGUUGGAGAAGAACUUUCCAUGUAGGGAGGUAGGUGACAAGCACACAGAGCUCGCUGCUAAACUACUGCAACCAGGUGGAUCAGAAACAGAAUUGGAGCUAUUUUAUCUGGACCUAAUUAAACAACCUUCAUUACUGGCAGGUAUGUGUUUGUGAUGACAGAAAUUAGCUUGAUUGGAAUUAAAACUC
Molecule: long non-coding RNA, 399 nt
Filed under: Coturnix japonica (Japanese quail)
Lineage: Eukaryota; Metazoa; Chordata; Aves; Galliformes; Phasianidae
Description: lncRNA (ENSCJPG00005008248.1)
Source: RNAcentral